Molecule: ribosomal RNA, 476 nt
Filed under: uncultured organism
Description: partial 16S ribosomal RNA
Rfam family: Bacterial small subunit ribosomal RNA
Source: RNAcentral
ACGUACACUCCUGCGGGAGGCAGCAGUGGGGAAUAUUGCACAAUGGGCGCAAGCCUGAUGCAGCCAUGCCGCGUGUAUGAAGAAGGCCUUCGGGUUGUAAAGUACUUUCAGCGGGGAGGAAGGCGAUAAGGUUAAUAACCUUGUUGAUUGACGUUACCCGCAGAAGAAGCACCGGCUAACUCCGUGCCAGCAGCCGCGGUAAUACGGAGGGUGCAAGCGUUAAUCGGAAUUACUGGGCGUAAAGCGCACGCAGGCGGUCUGUCAAGUCGGAUGUGAAAUCCCCGGGCUCAACCUGGGAACUGCAUUCGAAACUGGCAGGCUAGAGUCUUGUAGAGGGGGGUAGAAUUCCAGGUGUAGCGGUGAAAUGCGUAGAGAUCUGGAGGAAUACCGGUGGCGAAGGCGGCCCCCUGGACAAAGACUGACGCUCAGGUGCGAAAGCGUGGGGAGCAAACAGGAUUAGAUACCCCAGUAGUCCC